CUUCUAAAAUUUAGGCAGAUUCCCUAAAUUCUACUAAAAUUUAGAAGUCUUUUGUGAGUCUUCCAGACCCUAUAAUCAAAUAACUAAUAAAAAACACUUUCUUAAACUUUUAAGAAACUUAAAAAGUGUUUAAAUCAAGUUAUUAGAUAGUCACUAAACACAUAUAGGUAAAAAAAAAUUAAAAAAAAAAACAAAAGAUAAUAUUUUAAAAUCUAACC
This 218-nucleotide long non-coding RNA is filed under the name Brassica napus (rape). RNAcentral's name for it is "long non-coding RNA (BNAP_LNC011814)". Lineage: Eukaryota; Viridiplantae; Streptophyta; Magnoliopsida; Brassicales; Brassicaceae. The record is from RNAcentral.